GUAUCCCUCGGGGAUGGAGUUCCCCAUUAAGCGCCAAUCCGGCUGAUGACUCCUGCAACGGG
RNAcentral lists this non-coding RNA (62 nucleotides) under Bradyrhizobium elkanii. RNAcentral's name for it is "Fluoride sequence". It matches the Rfam family "Fluoride riboswitch aptamer (crcB RNA motif)". Lineage: Bacteria; Pseudomonadati; Pseudomonadota; Alphaproteobacteria; Hyphomicrobiales; Nitrobacteraceae. The record is from RNAcentral.